CGAAUAUACAAUUUACUACUCAAGAAGAAUAAAAAAAGCGUAAUUUCACUAAAAACAGGGAUAAAGGGACGCUUAUUGCAGUGUGAGAGCGCUUCAAAAUUAGCGUCUUUUAUAACAUUUUGCGUUGUAGCCAGAAAAGUCAAUAUAAAAAUUGUUGGGCAUUUAAACUAAAACACCCAACAUUUAUUAAGAUUAAAAUUAUUAUAUAUAUAUCCGAUCAACACAUGGAGGAACUAUUUAAAUCCUUUUUUUGUGAUUUUGUGAUAUUUUAAAAUAGCUGGUGUUUGAACAUUCAAUAGUUGAGAGAGUUGAGCAUUCCUUCAUCUCUGCUACAAAUUUGGCUUUUAGAGAGCUGAGUUCUUCUUUUUAUAAAUAUGUUGUAAAAUUAAUUAUAUUUAUAUUGUAAAAUUAAUUUGUUUUACUUUAUAAAAACAAAAAACCGAUCAAUAAGAAAAUUUGCAGCAUUGCAGAAAAGUUGCACUCCUAGAAUAAAACCAAUUCAGAUUGAUAAAAAUGCAAUUUAAAAAUAAUUAUGUUGGAGGUUCAAGACGAUACAUGGAUUUUGAUUGGUAUUGGUAUACCAUCUUUUGUUGGAGAGAUUUUGCCUCAUUUUCACUCAUAAUUUGUAAACGUUACAAAUAACGAUUUGUGGAGCAUCGACAGAUUCUGUUGCAAGAUUUUGUAUAUUGGGCUUGUCGUCAUCCGGUAUUGUGACAAUGCGAAGUGUGGCAUCAUUUUUUGACCUGCUACUGUGACAAGAUGUUGAAAUCAAGCAUAAGGAAAGCCAAUCGUGACACAUAUGUAGGAGUCUCUUAUUGUUGGGCCAUAUCUCUUAGCAUUAUCUAAUGACACGGCGAAACGUUAUGAAACACAAUGUAAAAAAUAACUGCAACGUAUUGAUGAUGGCAGGUCGGACCUGGCAAAGGCCUUAAAUAGAGACGAGCGUCGUGCACCCUUAAAAACAACACCGCUAUCGGAAAGUGUUGGGCGUAAAGUUCGCCUCGGAUCGGAAAGUUAAACUAUAAAUUGGACUCGAUACCAUUCACAGACCGUUUUUAGUUCUACAGUCAAUACGACACGAGAGUUAGUCUCUUUUUAGUUACAUAUGCCUAAGGAAUGAAAGAACCUUGUGCCUAGCUUGAAGAUACCCAAAAACCAAUAUUUCAGUAUCUCCUAACUGGUAUUAGAAGUCGUCCUGAACAGUUUUCCUGACAUUAUUUCAACACAAAUACGAUUGGUUAACAUCUAUGCAAAAGAUGAGCAAUGACCAGAUGACCGAUGUGAAUCGUCGCACCAAUGUUAGUUCCUAUGCUGUAAUAGCUGA
Bactrocera oleae (olive fruit fly) is the source of this 1324-nucleotide non-coding RNA. NCBI's taxonomy places the organism in Eukaryota, Metazoa, Arthropoda, Insecta, Diptera, Tephritidae. The record is from RefSeq and is a predicted model, not a curated record.